ACGGAUCGGAGCGGAGGAAAUGUUCAGAUUAGCGAAUCGGAAGCGACUGAGAUGAAGUCCAGCGAAUCUGGACGGGGAUACUCUAAUCCUCAAACUGUAGAAGCGAAGAAUGCGAAUGGUUAAGCAGACGAUGGAAGUAAAGAGAGAGGGGGAGACGAUCGGAGAAGGGAGGCGACUUGGGCGCGCGGGAGAGAGAGAGAAAGAAAGGAGAGAGAGAGAGAGAGAGAGAGAGAGAGAGAGAGAGAGAGAGAGAGAGAGAGAGAGAGAGAGAGAGUGUGUGUACAAACAUGAAAGCUUAUGAAUUUGAAUGGUGAUUCUGGUUGGAACACGCCAUCCUUAAGCCAUCUCUCUGGCUUGAACUCCUCAGCCUGUUGUCCCCAAAUAUAAGUCAUCCUUCCAAUGGCAUAGGAUAUGUAGUAGACAUUACCCUUCUCUUCACUCUAUGUCCAUUUGGAAGCACAUCAUCAUUCUAUGUACACCUCGUGUCCUUUAGAAUGAAACCAAAAGAAAGUGUUAAAAUCCUCAUUGGUUUGGAUCAAUCACAGAAGAAUCUUUAAAGGAGUGGUACCACAGGGACAGCAGUGUAAAGCCUCAAGGUCUCAGACAAGGCCGCAUGGAGAUACUGCAUCUGAUCAAGAGCCUCUUCAUCUAUACUCUCAACGAAACCUUUCCCAUCGGUUGUUUCCUCAUGACUCGACGUCACGUCUCUGAUCUCUCAUACUAUUUUCUCCUGAACAAGUGGGUUUUUGCAGAGCAUGUACAAGAACCAAGAGAGAGAUGCAGCGGUUGUGUCCUUCCCAGCGAUCAUAAAGCUCAAGAUUAUAUCCCUCAGAUACUUAUCAUUCAUCCUCUCUGGAUCUUUCUCCCUCUCCACCAGAAAUCUCGAUAAUAUAUCCUCUCUAAUAGCCUAAGUACAAAGCCAAAACAUUUUUGGUUUUAACAUUCAAUCAAAACAAGAGGGUUGAGAACUUAAGAGAGAACUCACAGUGUUCUGUUCUUUCCUUUUAGUGAUAAUGAGUCUAUAGACAAACUUAUCUAUAGUAGCAAUGCUCUUCUUGAGCCUAGCUUGUGAUCCGAUGUUGAGAAACCAUUUCAGCUUCCAAAGCGGAUCGAUGAACCUCAACCUAGUUGCAUCGUUCCCUCCCUUCGUCGAAAGCCUCCCUACAUGAAUUUGUUGUUGAUCUUGGUUCUUAAAAUUACCUGAAGACCGGUUGUUCCACAACCUUCAACAGUGAAGUAGCAAUGCACUAAAGACUUGUCAUUUCUAAUCUGUUACCAUGAAAGAUUCAAUAUUUGUACACUAAAAAGAGAUCAAGUGAUUUUGUGAGGAAAAGGUUAGAAAUAAAAGGUCCAAAGAUAUUUUGAGGAAAAUGACUUAUCUUUUCAAAUCUUUUUAUGUCUUUGAUAUUGAUUCAUGUUCUUCAAUCAAGAAAAAAAUCAGUCAGAUCUAAAUCUAUAUUGUGAGAGGAAAAGACCAUUUCUAGUUUGUUACCAUGAAAGAUUCAACAUUCGUACACUAAAAAGGAGAUCAAGUUAUUUUGGGAGGAAAAUCAUGUUUUUAUAAAAUACUAGGGUCAGCCCGCCCUACGGGCGGAAUGUGAUCUAAAUUAUUAUUUUUUGUAUGAUUUUAUGAUUUAUGUUUUAGGUUUGUAUUUGCAAGAGAUAUGUAUGAUACACUACAAAAAAAAUCAUAUUAUUUCACAUAAA
Long non-coding RNA from Brassica rapa (field mustard), 1707 nucleotides. RefSeq lists it as uncharacterized. The record is from RefSeq and is a predicted model, not a curated record. NCBI's taxonomy places the organism in Eukaryota, Viridiplantae, Streptophyta, Magnoliopsida, Brassicales, Brassicaceae.